Molecule: ribosomal RNA, 639 nt
Filed under: Triticum aestivum (bread wheat)
Lineage: Eukaryota; Viridiplantae; Streptophyta; Magnoliopsida; Poales; Poaceae
Description: partial small subunit ribosomal RNA
Source: RNAcentral
AUGAUGGAGGGUGAUGUAAUGGAAUUCCUCAUUGAUGAUUGGAAGCAAGAUCCCGAGAGGAAUGUUGAUUUCUCAUCUAGGAAAAGGGUAUUGCUGAGUCCAUAUUUCAUCACGGUUGUGCUUGACUGUACAUUUUACGGUGAUGAAAAUAAAGUGUUUAAUAUGGAGAGUGCAGCGAGAGAUUUCAAGAGCUAUGUUAAAGAUAAGGAAGACUUGCUUAGUGCCGACCUUAUCAUGAUGCCUCUAUUCAAGCCUAUGAUUUUAGCAAAGGAUAAGAAAGUGAACCACUUUUCCUUAUAUGUCAUGAAUCGGUACCAAAGUAGCGUUGACAUCCUUGACUCUUUAACUUAUCCGAAGAACCACCGUCCUUCAAAGAACACCUAUCAUAAAGACUGCGAGAAGAUUUACAAUGCGAGCAAGCAUCCCAAUUGGGAGCUAUUUGCAAAGAAACCAACAUUUGUCAAGGGUCCACUUCAAGGGCCGAAUGAAUGUGUCCAUUAUACUCUAAAGUAUGCGGGAUCCUAUGAUGGUGAAAAGAUAUCGUUGAGAACAUUCGAGAUAAUGACCCACGUAUUGUUGAUUGGAACGCUGAGGAUCUGUAUAGAGUUGUGUUCAACCGGAAUAGCCAGCUUGUGGUGA